GCCCGGAUGGUCUAGUGGUAUGAUUCGCGCUUAGGGCUCACCCAAAGCAUCGCAUGACUGCGCGAGGUCCCCGGUUCGAUCCCGGGUUCGGGCC
RNAcentral lists this transfer RNA (94 nucleotides) under Aspergillus pseudonomiae. Its description in RNAcentral is "Aspergillus pseudonomius tRNA-Pro". Lineage: Eukaryota; Fungi; Ascomycota; Eurotiomycetes; Eurotiales; Aspergillaceae. The record is from RNAcentral.